This is a long non-coding RNA of Pan paniscus (pygmy chimpanzee), 222 nucleotides long. Lineage: Eukaryota; Metazoa; Chordata; Mammalia; Primates; Hominidae. The record is from Ensembl.
AUGUCUGUGGAAACUAUUGAAGAGGAAGGCUUUGCUAAAUCUUCAUGGAGGAAAGCUCAGUGUCACACUGGAUGCGACCCUGAGAUGCCAGUCCUAUGGCCAGCCACAUCCACAAUACAACAGCUUUUUGCUGAUAUUCAGUAUGGUUUACAAAAUGUGUGACCGUGGUUCAGAUGUACUUAAAAUGUAGUAAGAUUUACCCCAAAUUUUGCUUAAAAAUGG